GACGAACGCUGGCGGCGUGCUUAACACAUGCAAGUCGAACGGAAAGGCCCUGCUUUUGUGGGGUGCUCGAGUGGCUAACGGGUUAGUAACACGUUAGUAACCUGCCCUUGACUUUGGGAUAACUUCAUGAAACUGUGGCUAAUACCUGAUAGGAGCUCCUGCUGCAUGGUUGGGGUUGGAAAGUUUCGGCGGUUGGGGAUGGACUCGCGGCUUAUCAGCUUGUUGGUGGGGUAGUGGCUUACCAAGGCUUUGACGGGUAGCCGGCCUGAGAGGGUGACCGGCAACAUUGGGAAUGAGAUACGGCCCAGAAUACUACGGGAGGCAGCAGUGGGGAAUAUUGCAAAAUGGGCGGAAGCCUGAUGCAGCAACGACGAGUGCGGGAUGAAGGCCUUCGGGUUGUAAAACGCUUUCGCCUGUGACGAAGCGUGAGUGACGGUAAUGGGUAAAGAAGCACCGGCUAAAUACGUG
Molecule: ribosomal RNA, 468 nt
Filed under: uncultured bacterium
Lineage: Bacteria
Description: partial 16S ribosomal RNA
Rfam family: Bacterial small subunit ribosomal RNA
Source: RNAcentral